ACCCGUCUUGAAACACGGACCAAGGAGUCUAACAUGUGCGCGAGUCAUUGGGUUGUUGUUAAAGAUAUCGAUUAAACCUAAAGGCGCAAUGAAAGUGAAGGUCGUCCUUAGCGUCGAUCGAGGGAGGAUGGCCCGGGUUCGCCCGAGUCCGCACUCCCGGGGCGUCUCACGGUCGUUACGACCAGAGGCGCACCCAGAGCGUACACGUUGGGACCCGAAAGAUGGUGAACUAUGCCUGGUCAGGACGAAGUCAGGGGAAACCCUGAUGGAGGUCCGUAGCGAUUCUGACGUGCAAAUCGAUCGUCGGAACUGGGUAUAGGGGCGAAAGACUAAUCGAACCAUCUAGUAGCUGGUUCCCUCCGAAGUUUCCCUCAGGAUAGCUGGCACUCGCUCGAUAAAAACGAGUCUCAUCUGGUAAAGCGAAUGAUUAGAGGCCUUGGGGCCGAAACGACCUCAACCUAUUCUCAAACUUUAAAUGGGUGAGAUCUCUGGCUUGCUUGAACGUUGAAGCCAUGAGAUUUUUUCUACAAAAGUGGAUCAGAGUGCCAAGUGGGCCAAUUUUGGUAAGCAGAACUGGCGCUGUGGGA
This 587-nucleotide ribosomal RNA is filed under the name Blastophaga n. sp. AC-2009. RNAcentral describes it as "eukaryotic LSU rRNA". It matches the Rfam family "Eukaryotic large subunit ribosomal RNA", at positions 647 to 1163 of the family's 3401-position model. Lineage: Eukaryota; Metazoa; Arthropoda; Insecta; Hymenoptera; Agaonidae. The record is from RNAcentral. RNAcentral also lists the same sequence under 1 other name.